GUGAAUGUGGCUUAGUGUAGAGUGCUUGUCUUGCAUAUAUGAAGCCCUGAGUUCGAGUCCUCAGUAUCCAUA
RNAcentral lists this transfer RNA (72 nucleotides) under Dipodomys ordii (Ord's kangaroo rat). It matches the Rfam family "tRNA". Rfam says of the family: Transfer RNA (tRNA) molecules are approximately 80 nucleotides in length. Lineage: Eukaryota; Metazoa; Chordata; Mammalia; Rodentia; Heteromyidae. The record is from Rfam by way of RNAcentral.